GAUCUAUAGAACCACGGGAAGUCACCAUCACCACCAUCUCCAUCAUUUUCUUAAUUUCUUAACCAUGGUAGCAAACUAGACAUGCAGCCCCGUUUUCCACUUUAACCAUAGCCUCUGCUCACUUCAAUUUUGAAGAUUUCUGUGAUGAAUCAAAGCUCCUAAUACUUCAAUCUUCUUCAUUUCGGCAAGCAAGAACAUUUAGAUUAUGGAAGAGAAAGCCAACGUCUUGAAGCCAGAAACCAUCGACUUUCCAAUCUUCUUUUCUAGAAAAUUCUGCCGAGGAUCACACCAUUAUUU
Argentina anserina (silverweed cinquefoil) is the source of this 297-nucleotide long non-coding RNA. RefSeq lists it as uncharacterized. The transcript has 3 exons. The record is from RefSeq and is a predicted model, not a curated record. NCBI's taxonomy places the organism in Eukaryota, Viridiplantae, Streptophyta, Magnoliopsida, Rosales, Rosaceae.